This 1316-nucleotide ribosomal RNA is filed under the name Streptococcus thermophilus. RNAcentral's name for it is "bacterial SSU rRNA". It matches the Rfam family "Bacterial small subunit ribosomal RNA", at positions 89 to 1394 of the family's 1533-position model. The record is from RNAcentral. Lineage: Bacteria; Bacillati; Bacillota; Bacilli; Lactobacillales; Streptococcaceae.
GGAUGAGUUGCGAACGGGUGAGUAACGCGUAGGUAACCUGCCUUGUAGCGGGGGAUAACUAUUGGAAACGAUAGCUAAUACCGCAUAACAAUGGAUGACACAUGUCAUUUAUUUGAAAGGGGCAAUUGCUCCACUACAAGAUGGACCUGCGUUGUAUUAGCUAGUAGGUGAGGUAAUGGCUCACCUAGGCGACGAUACAUAGCCGACCUGAGAGGGUGAUCGGCCACACUGGGACUGAGACACGGCCCAGACUCCUACGGGAGGCAGCAGUAGGGAAUCUUCGGCAAUGGGGGCAACCCUGACCGAGCAACGCCGCGUGAGUGAAGAAGGUUUUCGGAUCGUAAAGCUCUGUUGUAAGUCAAGAACGGGUGUGAGAGUGGAAAGUUCACACUGUGACGGUAGCUUACCAGAAAGGGACGGCUAACUACGUGCCAGCAGCCGCGGUAAUACGUAGGUCCCGAGCGUUGUCCGGAUUUAUUGGGCGUAAAGCGAGCGCAGGCGGUUUGAUAAGUCUGAAGUUAAAGGCUGUGGCUCAACCAUAGUUCGCUUUGGAAACUGUCAAACUUGAGUGCAGAAGGGGAGAGUGGAAUUCCAUGUGUAGCGGUGAAAUGCGUAGAUAUAUGGAGGAACACCGGUGGCGAAAGCGGCUCUCUGGUCUGUAACUGACGCUGAGGCUCGAAAGCGUGGGGAGCGAACAGGAUUAGAUACCCUGGUAGUCCACGCCGUAAACGAUGAGUGCUAGGUGUUGGAUCCUUUCCGGGAUUCAGUGCCGNAGCUAACGCAUUAAGCACUCCGCCUGGGGAGUACGACCGCAAGGUUGAAACUCAAAGGAAUUGACGGGGGCCCGCACAAGCGGUGGAGCAUGUGGUUUAAUUCGAAGCAACGCGAAGAACCUUACCAGGUCUUGACAUCCCGAUGCUAUUUCUAGAGAUAGAAAGUUACUUCGGUACAUCGGUGACAGGUGGUGCAUGGUUGUCGUCAGCUCGUGUCGUGAGAUGUUGGGUUAAGUCCCGCAACGAGCGCAACCCCUAUUGUUAGUUGCCAUCAUUCAGUUGGGCACUCUAGCGAGACUGCCGGUAAUAAACCGGAGGAAGGUGGGGAUGACGUCAAAUCAUCAUGCCCCUUAUGACCUGGGCUACACACGUGCUACAAUGGUUGGUACAACGAGUUGCGAGUCGGUGACGGCGAGCUAAUCUCUUAAAGCCAAUCUCAGUUCGGAUUGUAGGCUGCAACUCGCCUACAUGAAGUCGGAAUCGCUAGUAAUCGCGGAUCAGCACGCCGCGGUGAAUACGUUCCCGGGCCUUGUACACACCGCC